Molecule: ribosomal RNA, 119 nt
Filed under: Pteropus alecto (black flying fox)
Lineage: Eukaryota; Metazoa; Chordata; Mammalia; Chiroptera; Pteropodidae
Source: RNAcentral
GUCUACGGCCAUGCCACCCUGAACAAGCCCAAUCCCAUCUGAGUUUGGAAGCUAAGCAGGGUCGGGCCUGGUUAGUACUUGGAUGGGAGAUCACCUAGAAAGACCAGGUGAUGUAGGCA